This 584-nucleotide ribosomal RNA is filed under the name uncultured organism. RNAcentral describes it as "bacterial SSU rRNA". It matches the Rfam family "Bacterial small subunit ribosomal RNA", at positions 915 to 1510 of the family's 1533-position model. The record is from RNAcentral.
GGGGCCCCGCACAAGCAGCGGAGCGUUGUGGUUUAAUUCGAUGCUACACGAAGAACCUUACCUGGGUUUGACAUGCACGUGGUAGGGAACCGAAAGGGGACCGACCUUCGGGAGCGUGCACAGGUGCUGCAUGGCUGUCGUCAGCUCGUGCCGUGAGGUGUCGGGUUAAGUCCCGUAACGAGCGCAACCCUUGCCCUUAGUUACAAGUGUCUAAGGGGACUGCCCGGGACAACUGGGAGGAAGGUGGGGAUGACGUCAAGUCAGCAUGGCCUUUAUAUCCAGGGCUACACACACGCUACAAUGGCCGGUACAAUAGGUUGCGAAGUCGUGAGGCGGAGCCAAUCCUCAAAGCCGGUCUCAGUUCGAAUUGCAGUCUGCAACUCGACUGCAUGAAGCUGGAGUUGCUAGUAAUCGCAGGUCAGCUAUACUGCGGUGAAUACGUUCCCGGGCCUUGUACACACCGCCCGUCACGUCAUGGAAGCUGGCAACGCCUGAAGCCGGUGAGCUAACCCGAAAGGGAGGCAGCCGUCGAGGGUGGGGCUGGUAACUGGGACGAAGUCUGUAACAAGGUAACCAAGGGCGAA